RNAcentral lists this transfer RNA (90 nucleotides) under Ignavibacteriales bacterium. It matches the Rfam family "tRNA". From Rfam's summary of the family: Transfer RNA (tRNA) molecules are approximately 80 nucleotides in length. Their secondary structure includes four short double-helical elements and three loops (D, anti-codon, and T loops). Lineage: Bacteria; Pseudomonadati; Ignavibacteriota; Ignavibacteria; Ignavibacteriales. The record is from Rfam by way of RNAcentral.
GGAGAGGUGGCCGAGUGGCUGAAGGCAACGGUUUGCUAAACCGUCAUACGAUGUAAAGUUGUAUCGAGAGUUCAAAUCUCUCCCUCUCCG